This 243-nucleotide long non-coding RNA is filed under the name Elaeis guineensis (African oil palm). Its description in RNAcentral is "long non-coding RNA (EGUI_LNC068135)". Lineage: Eukaryota; Viridiplantae; Streptophyta; Magnoliopsida; Arecales; Arecaceae. The record is from RNAcentral.
GCCCGUGGUCUGCAUGAAGUUGUUUAGUGUCAUGUUGGUGUUAGUAGUUGAUUUCGUUAGGAUUUCUAGACUCUUUUCUAGCGAGUUAAGCCUUUAAUUAUUAUCAAAACCUGAUAGGUUAUUUGAUGAUUGAGUGAAUCUAGGGUUGGGCUGAGUGAAGGUAGGUCUACUUGAGUUUGACCCUUGUGACCAAGAAAAAUUAGGGUGGUUCCUCUAUCCUGAAUUGUACGUUGAUGGGUAGGG